UGUGUAGGCGGAACAAUAAGUCAGUGGUGAAAUCUUUCAGCUUAACUGGAAAACUGCCAUUGAUACUGCUGUUCUUGAGUUCAGUUGAGGUGGGCGGAAUGUGUAAUGUAGCGGUGAAAUGCUUAGAUAUUACACAGAACACCGAUUGCGAAGGCAGCUCACUAAACUGUUACUGACGCUGAGGCACGAAAGCGUGGGGAGCGAACAGGAUUAGAUACCCUGGUAGUCC
Molecule: ribosomal RNA, 229 nt
Filed under: uncultured bacterium
Lineage: Bacteria
Description: partial 16S ribosomal RNA
Rfam family: Bacterial small subunit ribosomal RNA
Source: RNAcentral